Molecule: ribosomal RNA, 832 nt
Filed under: uncultured crenarchaeote
Lineage: Archaea; Thermoproteati; Thermoproteota
Description: bacterial SSU rRNA
Rfam family: Archaeal small subunit ribosomal RNA
Source: RNAcentral
ACCUGACUGCUAUCGGAUUGGUACUAAGCCAUGUGAGUCGUUGUAGCAAUACAAGGCAUACGGCUCAGUAACACGUAGUCAAUCUAACCUAUGGACGGGGAUAACCUCGGGAAACUGAGGAUAAAACCCGAUAGAUCAUAAUGCCUGGAACGGUUUAUGGUCCAAAUGAUUUAUCGCCGUAGGAUGGGACUGCGGCCUAUCAGUUUGUUGGUGAGGUAAUGGCCCACCAAGACUAUUACAGGUACGGGCUCUGAGAGGAGUGGCCCGGAGAUGGGUACUGAAACACGGACCCAGGCCCUAUGGGGCGCAGCAGGCGAGAAAACUUUGCAAUGUGCGAAAGCACGACAAGGUUAAUCCGAGUGUUUCCUGCUAAAGGAAUCUUUUGUUAGUCGUAAAACCACUAUCGAAUAAGGGGUGGGCAAGUUCUGGUGUCAGCCGCCGCGGUAAAACCAGCACCUCAAGUGGUCAGGAGGGUUAUUGGGCCUAAAGCAUCCGUAGCCUGCUUUGUAAGUUUUCGGUUAAAUCCAUAUGCUCAACAUAUGGGCUGCCGGGAAUACUGCAUAGCUAGGGAGUGGGAGAGGUAGACGGUACUCCGUAGGAAGGGGUAAAAUCCUUUGAUCUAUGGAUGACCACCUGUGGCGAAGGCGGUCUACCAGAACACGUCCGACGGUGAGGGAUGAAAGCUGGGGGAGCAAACCGGAUUAGAUACCCGGGUAGUCCCAGCUGUAAACUAUGCAAACUCAGUGAUGCAUUGACUUAUGGUCAAUGCAGCGUUGCAGGGAAGCCGUUAAGUUUGCCGCCUGGGAAGUACGUACGCAAGUAUGAAACUUAA